RNAcentral lists this ribosomal RNA (440 nucleotides) under uncultured bacterium. RNAcentral describes it as "partial 16S ribosomal RNA". It matches the Rfam family "Bacterial small subunit ribosomal RNA", at positions 338 to 795 of the family's 1533-position model. The record is from RNAcentral.
CCUACGGGAGGCAGCAGUAGGGGAUAUUGCACAAUGGGGGAAACCCUGAUGGAGCGACGCCGCGUGAGUGAUGAAGGACUUCGGUAUGUAAAGCUCUAUCAUCAGGGAAGAAAAUGACAGUAACUGACCAAGAAGCCCCGGCUAACUACGUUCCAGCAGCCGCGGUAAUACGUAGGGGGCGAACGUUAUCCGGAAUUACUGGGGGUAAGGGGAGCGUGGACGGUUAUGUAAGUAUGGAGUGAAAGCCCGGGGCUCAACCCCGGGACUGCGUUGGAAACUGUGUAACUGGAGUACAGGAGGGGCAAGCGGAAUUCCAGGUGUAGCGGUGAAAUGCGUAGAGAUCAGGAGGAACACCAGCGGCGAAGGCGGCCUGCUGGACUGAAACUGACGUUGAGGUUCGAAAGCGUGGGGAGCAAACAGGAUUAGAUACCCGUGUAGUC